GAUCUCAAAUCAGGUAGGACUACCCGCUGAACUUAAGCAUAUCAAUAAGCGGAGGAAAAGAAACUAACAAGGAUUCCCCUAGUAACGGCGAGUGAAGCGGGAAGAGCUCAAAUUUAAAAUCUGGCGGUGUACUCCGUCCGAGUUGUAGUCUAGAGAAGCAUCAUCCGUGCCGGACCAUGUACAAGUCUCUUGGAACAGAGCGUCAUAGAGGGUGAGAAUCCGUCCUUGACAUGGACUCCCGGUGCUUUGUGUUGAGCUCUCAACGAGUCGAGUUGUUUGGGAAUGCAGCUCAAAAUGGGUGGUAAAUUCCAUCUAAAGCUAAAUAUUGGCGAGAGACCGAUAGCGAACAAGUACCGUGAGGGAAAGAUGAAAAGCACUUUGGAGAGAGAGUUAAACAGUACGUGAAAUUGUUGAAAUGGAAACGAUUGAAGUCAG
This 435-nucleotide ribosomal RNA is filed under the name uncultured fungus. Its description in RNAcentral is "eukaryotic LSU rRNA". It matches the Rfam family "Eukaryotic large subunit ribosomal RNA", at positions 1 to 432 of the family's 3401-position model. The record is from RNAcentral. Lineage: Eukaryota; Fungi.